GAGAACCUCCGGGGGUAAGAGGUUCGACUCGAGCGAAGCGAGAGAACGUUGCGCCAGCAACGGCCCGCAGGGCGAGCCACGCAGUGGCGAGUCAUCCUCUAUCACCGGCAG
This 111-nucleotide small RNA is filed under the name Salmonella enterica subsp. enterica. RNAcentral's name for it is "partial RtT sRNA". It matches the Rfam family "RtT RNA", at positions 24 to 130 of the family's 130-position model. From Rfam's summary of the family: This family represents a bacterial cis-regulatory element known as RtT RNA. The exact function of RtT is unknown although it is thought that it may be involved in changing the cellular response in relation to amino acid starvation. Lineage: Bacteria; Pseudomonadati; Pseudomonadota; Gammaproteobacteria; Enterobacterales; Enterobacteriaceae. The record is from RNAcentral.